RNAcentral lists this ribosomal RNA (396 nucleotides) under uncultured bacterium. RNAcentral's name for it is "partial 16S ribosomal RNA". It matches the Rfam family "Bacterial small subunit ribosomal RNA", at positions 523 to 918 of the family's 1533-position model. The record is from RNAcentral.
AUACGUAGGUGGCAAGCGUUAUCCGGAUUUACUGGGUGUAAAGGGCGCGUAGGCGGGGAUGCAAGUCAGAUGUGAAAUCUAUGGGCUUAACCCAUAAACUGCAUUUGAAACUGUAUAUCUUGAGUGUCGGAGAGGUAGAUGGAAUUCCUUGUGUAGCGGUGAAAUGCGUAGAUAUAAGGAAGAACACCAGUGGCGAAGGCGAUCUACUGGACGAUAACUGACGCUGAGGCGCGAAAGCGUGGGGAGCAAACAGGAUUAGAUACCCUGGUAGUCCACGCUGUAAACGAUGAAUACUAGGUGUGGGGGGACUGACCCCUUCCGUGCCGCAGUUAACACAAUAAGUAUUCCACCUGGGGAGUACGGCCGCAAGGCUGAAACUCAAAGGAAUUGGCGGGG